GUGAAUCGUUUAGUCAUUAAGCACAAUACACAAGUCUGUAUGUUGAUUACAGAUCUACGAUCUCAAAGGCAGACAGGAUUUUGCGCAAUUUUAACUUUUUCUUCCUCCAACAAUUUGGGGGCAGGAGCAAUAAUUAAAAAGGGUCGGCAGAAGAACGUUCAGGUCUUGCUCGGAACCGUUAACAGUCUUGAAGUUGACUCAAGGCAGCUCACGUAAUCCUCACAUGCAAAGAACGCUGCGUUGACCGACCUGAGAUUCGUAGGCACUAAAAACUCACUAUGGCCACCAGCCCCAAAGUUCCUUCAACGAUUGCAUUGCUAAUCGAACAUAAACUCCGUUUGUAAAACGAGAAAGUGCAUAAGAAGGCCAGGUUUAGAGUUCAAUGAUGAGACCAUAACUUACCAAUCAAAAUGUAUUUUAAAUCAUAUCUGGAAUCGCCUUUUAUCGGUACCCCUAGCAUAUCCCCAACUGUCUCGUCUGCAGGUACAAUUUCAAGCCCUGUCAAUUUUGGUUUUUUUCCAAAGACGUGUGUUUAUAACUCACGCGUAAGUCCAGAUGAAAAUUUCUUGAACCAAGGGUCUUUCAAAAUUUGUGAAGGCCUGUUCCAACUCAGCUGCCUCUCAUUAUGUAAUAGUCAUAGAUAAUUCACAACAUGCUCAGCAAAACCAAAAAAAUCCUCAUUAACUUGUCCUGAAAAUGACAACAUCAAAUCGCACCAACCCCCUCACGGAAAAGGACGAACUAACAUGUACACGGAAACUGCAGCACGAUGUGAUGUUCAAGGUUACGUUCUCACUUUUAGUGAUGAACCGAAUCAGCCAUGCACCAAGAAUAGCAACAUGCGAAUAGAAGCAACAAACAUUACUGAGCACACUUGAAGCAAACCAUAUCACAAAAUUCGUAAGCCAACGCAUGUUGCCUCCAAUCUGACAGCUCCCUUUGGCACUCAGGUCCACUGGUAUCGUGUAACUUAAAAAAUCAAAAUGCACAAUGUCUGAAUUCACGAGACAUUUGAGAGGUGCAUUGAGCCGUCAUUAAAGUGAUAUAAUAGGAAUAGGCUUUAAUAGCGGAAGAACAUAAGUAGUUGCAAUUCUGUUUAGCAAAACGGAACUAAAAUGUGUGAAGUGAAUAGUUCUUACAAAAUAGUUGUCAGUCCCAAAAAAAGAGUAACCAGAUCAAUCAAAAUGCAGCCAGCUUCACAUGCCAUGAUUCCACUGAC
RNAcentral lists this long non-coding RNA (1219 nucleotides) under Physcomitrium patens. RNAcentral describes it as "long non-coding RNA (PPAT_LNC001739)". Lineage: Eukaryota; Viridiplantae; Streptophyta; Bryopsida; Funariales; Funariaceae. The record is from RNAcentral.